Molecule: ribosomal RNA, 332 nt
Filed under: uncultured bacterium
Lineage: Bacteria
Description: bacterial SSU rRNA
Rfam family: Bacterial small subunit ribosomal RNA
Source: RNAcentral
CGCGCAGGCGGCCUUUCAAGUCAGGCGUGAAAGCCCCGGGCUUAACCUGGGAAUUGCGCUUGGGACUGGAAGGCUUGAGUACGGGAGAGGAGAGGUGGAAUUCCCAGUGUAGAGGUGAAAUUCGUAGAUAUUGGGAAGAACACCGGUGGCGAAGGCGGCUCUCUGGACCGUAACUGACGCUGAGGCGCGAAAGCGUGGGGAGCAAACAGGAUUAGAUACCCUGGUAGUCCACGCUGUAAACGAUGUGCGCUAGACGUUGGAAGGCCUAGCCUUCCGGUGUCGCAGCUAACGCUUUAAGCGCACCGCCUGGGGAGUACGGCCGCAAGGUUAAA